UCCUCUUCUGCCAUGGUGGAUGUGCUACCUUUUCUGCACACCCCAAGGCUACCUACCAAGAGGUAGAUGACAAAAUAGCAGACGCUGUCAAACAUGCACCAGCUCGGGUCAAGAGUAAGAGAAGGGAGCGGGUUGAGGAAGCGACAGUGGAUGAGGAUGGAGCAGCUGUAACGGCAGCCUUCCUCCUCUUCAUCUGAAGAGGAGGUGUAGCAGGGAUCGGACCAA
This is a long non-coding RNA of Salvelinus namaycush (lake trout), 225 nucleotides long. RefSeq lists it as uncharacterized. Lineage: Eukaryota; Metazoa; Chordata; Actinopteri; Salmoniformes; Salmonidae. The record is from RefSeq and is a predicted model, not a curated record. The transcript has 3 exons.